UAACGGUUGGCCUACCAGGCGACGACGGGUAGCCGGCCUGAGAGGGCGACCGGCCACACUGGGACUGAGACACGGCCCAGACUCCUACGGGAGGCAGCAGUGGGGAAUAUUGCACAAUGGGCGCAAGCCUGAUGCAGCGACGCCGCGUGAGGGAUGACGGCCUUCGGGUUGUAAACCUCUUUCAGUAGGGACGAAGCGCAAGUGACGGUACCUACAGAAGAAGCACCGGCCAACUACGUGCCAGCAGCCGCGGCCGA
Molecule: ribosomal RNA, 257 nt
Filed under: uncultured Tsukamurella sp.
Lineage: Bacteria; Bacillati; Actinomycetota; Actinomycetes; Mycobacteriales; Tsukamurellaceae
Description: partial 16S ribosomal RNA
Rfam family: Bacterial small subunit ribosomal RNA
Source: RNAcentral